AUCUCUAGUCUCAAUUUCUGCCCUACCAAAGUAUUUAAAGUUAUGGUCUCUAAAUUUCAAGGAUUUGGCAGUGAUCUAAUCCAGAUAGAGGAACCGGUUUAUUAAACGAUAAACCACGAAAAAUCUUAUCUGUUUUAAAAACUUUUAUACCGUCAUUAUUAGAUAAUUCUAAGAAGAAAAAUUAUCUCAACAAAAGACUACUUAAUAUAUUAGAUCAAGGUGCCGUCUAUAAACAGGCUUAAAUGGGUUACAAUAAGACACACUUAUUACAGAUAAAAGAUUUAAACAUCUCUUUGAAGGAGGAUUUAAUAGUAAUGCUAGUUCAACAAACUAACCUGAUAAAGGAUCUAGACUGAGUACAUAUCGGCCGCCACUUUAAUCUAAAAUUGAAAUAAGUCGUAACAUAG
Molecule: ribosomal RNA, 407 nt
Filed under: Neocallichirus vigilax
Lineage: Eukaryota; Metazoa; Arthropoda; Malacostraca; Decapoda; Callianassidae
Description: partial small subunit ribosomal RNA
Source: RNAcentral